Molecule: long non-coding RNA, 604 nt
Organism: Mytilus californianus (California mussel)
Lineage: Eukaryota; Metazoa; Mollusca; Bivalvia; Mytilida; Mytilidae
Exons: 3
Source: RefSeq, a predicted model, not a curated record
CAUUUAAGGUUUUGAAUAAUAAGUACUAUAAUGAUUAAUUAUGGAUAAGGAAAAAUUAUUUAUUAUGUCCUAUCUAAUCAGCAUAUCUUAUAUGAUAUUUUCACCAAAAUUUUUAGGUACAUAUAUAUUCUGAAUGACGGAUUGAUUUAAUAGUCUUUUGGUUUUUUUAAAAAUGAUGAACUUCAUUGAGUUUUGUAAUUCAUGUAUUUAAAAUGGUUUAGUUAUAAUUGUUAUUUUUAGAUUGACACUUUAACAAAGAAGUCAUCUAAAUGAAAAGGCAACUGGUAAAAGUGUAAGAAAAACAAAUUAAUGUUGAAAAGAAAGUGGAUAUUAUGAUUCAAAUACUACAAUCAAAAACAAAUGAACGAAAAAAGCGAAGCCAAAAGAUUAACGUCCCUGCACAAAUUGCACAAUCAAGAAGGGAUGGUUAUCAGCAGGGUAUUACUGAAAAGGAUUUCAUCUGGAGAAUAAAGAACGAAACUGGCAGUAUUUUAAAAAGGGAUAAAGACAAAUUUUGAAUCGUUCAAAGCAAAGAAACGAAGAGACGAAACUGAUAAACAAGAAGAACAUAACAAGAAAAUGGCUGUGUACAGCAAGAUGAGUA